RNAcentral lists this ribosomal RNA (912 nucleotides) under Rinodina willeyi. RNAcentral's name for it is "SSU rRNA". It matches the Rfam family "Bacterial small subunit ribosomal RNA", at positions 370 to 1298 of the family's 1533-position model. Lineage: Eukaryota; Fungi; Ascomycota; Lecanoromycetes; Caliciales; Physciaceae. The record is from RNAcentral.
AAUAGCCUAACGGCUGAACCAGCAACUUGGAGGAAUGUAUAGCGAAAGCUAGUUGCACUUAAUUUAGUUAAAACUAAGUUGGUGCAGGAUUGACUUUGUCGAAUAAAGUUCUAGGUGGGUUAUGAUGAUGACAUUUCCUAUCUAUGUGUCUUGACCAAAUUACGUGCCAGCAGUCGCGGUAAUACGUAGAAGACUAGUGUUAUUCAUCUUUAAUAGGUUUAAAGGGUACCUAGACGGUAAAUCAAGUCCGAUAAGGGUACUAAUUUACUAGAGUUUAAUGUGAGGGGGCAUGAAAGUACUGAUAAGUGUAGAGAUGAAAUUCUGUGAUACAAUAUAUGGCACUGGCAAAGGCGAAAGCAUCUCCUUAUGUAAUAACUGACGUUGAGGGACGAAGGCUAGGUGUAGCAAAAAGGAUUAGAUACCCAAGUAGUCUUAGCAGAAAAUUAUGAAUGUCAUAGGGUGGAAAUUGUUAGGACUAUAACAUAAAAUUUUAUUCUAUAAAUGAAAGUGUAAGCAUUCCACCUCGAGAGUAAUUUGGCAACAUUGGAACUGAAAUCAUUAGACCGUUUCUGAAACAAGUAGUGAAGUAUGUUGUUUAAUUUGAUGGUCCGCAAAAACCUUACCACUUUUUAAUUAAAUUUAAUUUGAAUAUAAAAAUUUAUUUUAUACAAGCGCUGCACGGUUGUCUUCAGUUAAUGUCGUGAGAUCUUGGUUAGUUCCAUUAAAUUAACGUAAACCCUUACUUUAUUUUUAUAUAGAGUAGUUCACCGCUAGAUUGGAUGUGAUAACAGGGACUAAGACAAGUCAUCAUGGCCUUAAUAUUGUGGGCUAUAGACGUGCCACAUAUGCCUUACAAAGGGAUGCAAAAUUGUGAAAUUGAGCUAAUCCCCUAAAAAUGGAUAAAAACUUAAU